RNAcentral lists this ribosomal RNA (307 nucleotides) under uncultured bacterium. Its description in RNAcentral is "partial 16S ribosomal RNA". It matches the Rfam family "Bacterial small subunit ribosomal RNA", at positions 506 to 807 of the family's 1533-position model. The record is from RNAcentral.
AGACAGCAGUCGCCGCGGUAAUACGAAGGGUGCAAGCGUUAAUCGGAAUUACAGGGCGUAAAGCGUGCGUAGGCGGUUUGUUAAGUCUGUUGUGAAAUCCCCGGGCUCAACCUGGGAAUGGCAAUGGAUACUGGCAAGCUAGAGUGUGUCAGAGGAUGGUGGAAUUCCCGGUGUAGCGGUGAAAUGCGUAGAGAUCGGGAGGAACAUCAGUGGCGAAGGCGGCCAUCUGGGACAACACUGACGCUGAGGCACGAAAGCGUGGGGAGCAAACAGGAUUAGAUACCCGAGUAGUCCCUGUCUCUUAUAC